Molecule: long non-coding RNA, 3365 nt
Filed under: Homo sapiens (human)
Lineage: Eukaryota; Metazoa; Chordata; Mammalia; Primates; Hominidae
Description: HSALNT0313714
Source: RNAcentral
AGUUCUCUUCCUGCCACCACUUGAAGAAGGACGUGUUUGCUUCCCCUUCUGCCGUGAUUCUAAGUUUCCUGAGGCCUCCCCAGCCAUGCUGAACUGUGAGUUAAUUAAACCUCUUGCCUUUAUAAAUUACCCAGUCUUGGGUAUGUCCUUAUAGCAGCAUGAGAAUGGAAAUACAGCCAUCUUCUCCAUGUGUCUCUUUACAUUGUCUUCCCUCUGUAAGCGUUCGUUUCUGUUAUAAGACACUAGUCUUAUUGGAUUAGAGACUGUAAUGACCUCAUUUAAAUUUGAUUACCUCAGUAAACACACUAUCUCCAAAUAAGGUCACAUUCUGAAAUAUUCAGGGUUAGGACUCCAGUAAUAUCUUUUUGUGGGGAGACACACUUCAAUCCAUAACAUACUAUAAGAGAAGGGAGCGCUUACCACUGUCCAUUACCUGGAACCAGUUCAGACAACCAUCAUCUUUCUACAUGCGAUGGAGAAAACAGUUCACCUGGGCAUUUUUGCUAUGACAGGAGGAAACGUCAAUAUCAAACCAUUGGAGAAGGUAGCUGAGUCAUUCAUUUGUGGCAGCAACCAUCUUUCCUUCCCGCACCCCCUGGCUAGGCUGCUCCAUGUUGGGAGGUGGUGUGUUCAGUACAGCCACAGUGAGCUAAGUGAGGGCUUCAGCUGCAGGCUGGAGUGACCCAGGGAGGAACUGCCGCCUAUCAAAAGGAAACACCUGCCACAGAAGGUUCACUGAAGCCUGAGAAAAUAAACGUCAAGAGCUCUGGGCUGUGCCACCACCAGUCUCCACCACUAUUCUGAGGCAGAAUGCACCUAUUGGCUCACAAUGCUGUGAAAGAAAACAAGAAAGUCGUGAUGAUAACAAUGCAGUGUCUUCAUUCAUAAUGGAUUGCAGUUCCCCACUCAGGAAGAGGACAUUUUUUUUAAAACUACAUGAUACAACUGAGAGCUUGGAAGCUAUCCAUGCAUAAGUUUUAAAACCCAGCAGCUUCAUGGUUUCCUCCUUCUGUUGGCCUGGCCAGUGGACACAGUGGUCACGUUCCUGGCAUGGAGAUGUCAUUCAUGGUCUCUCAGACCCAAGUGUUACCAGUGAAGGGUGUCCAGGUUCUUGGCGCUUUGAACAAAGAAUUGGACAAAACUCACAAACAAAGCAAGAAAAGAAAGAAGCAACAAAAGCAGAGAUGUAUUGAAAAUGAAAACACACUCCACAGGGUGGGAGCAGGCCGAGCAAGCAGCUCAAGGGCCCAGUUACAGAACUUUCUGGGGUUUAAAUACCCUUUAGAAGUUUCCAUUGGUUACUUGGUGUACACCCUAUGUAUAUGAAGUAGUGGCCUGUGAUCAGUCUGAUUGGUUGGAAGGGACCAAUCAGAAUGCAAACGUCUGAUUAGUUGUGGAAAGUGACCAAUUAGAGGCUGAAGUGAAGUUACAAAGUAAUACUCCCACGCAAAUGAAGACUUGGCCCACAACCAACCUGAUUGGUUGUGAGAGGGGACCAAUCAGAGGGACUUUCAGUUUUUCACCUGCAAUGCAGAAAAAGGGUGGCAGGUGAGGGGUGUUGCAAAGGGAGUAGCCUCUGGUCCUUUUGUUACUUGGGCACUUGGGCGUGGAAAGUGGGGGUUUUCCUUUUGAUUUAGUUCUAGGAAGUCAGCGUGAAUUGGCCUUACAUUCCCUGCCUCCAGACCCUAUUCUCCUGCCUCACAAGUGCUCCUAGGAGCUGUACAUGCCUGUCUUUGUCCCCAUGUAGUCAGCUCGUUACAGGUGGGUCCUGCUGGGUCUUUCGUUCUUGCUUCUCUGCUUCAAGAUGGCUAAUAAGUCCUGGUCCAGUGAGUCCCCAGUGCAGACAUAGAGCAGAAGGGAAGUGGGUCCAGUUGCAUUUCCUGCAGUUUAAUAAAGAACCCUGUGCUCUCUGGCCCAUUACCUAAAGCUGAUAUUGUGCUUGGAACGUGUAGUGUUAUCCAAUCCAGCUUUACCACUGCUAAAGCUGAUACCACGCUUUGAUCCUCUGCUUGCUCAUUUUGCCAAGUUCUUAACUGCGUGGAACUGGAAGGUGAGGGCUGGAUGAUUGAUUUUUCACCCUGCCCCCAAACUCCAACAACCGAAACCAAGGGUUCUUGAAGAGAGAGGGGCAGGGCAGCAACAGGGAGACUGAAACUUGGGGUGGGGGGGGGGCGGGGGGAGGGGGGCGGACGGAAUGUUUUUGAAGUGUGUGUUUGCCUAAGGUGUGUGUAGAAAGGUAGCUACUUUUCAGUCUCUGCCUGCCUUUAAUCCAUUACAAUGUCCUAAUUAAAAACAUUUAAAAAGCUACAUUGGAAAAUGAUCCCUGAGGCUAGAAUGCUGUUGGCACAGUGAAAAAGACGCAAUCAAUAAGUAAACAGGCAAUGUCAGCCCGGAGAGCUUUCAGAACAACAUGCCUACUCGGGGGAAAAAAAAUUACAAGUCGCUUUAGCCUAUUUAAAUAUUUUCCAAGAUCUUUGUUAAAUUUCAGGUAAUAAUAUUUCUUCCUUUGAACAAGCGUUGUAUGUUUGCCUUUGACUGAGAAUGGCCUAGGCUAGAGACCAUUUGGUAUUCAACUUGUGACUAUUUUAGUAUGGGGCUGGACCCCAAAAAUUCAUGCUCAAUGAAAUGAUUUUCACUUACUGAGAUGAAUUUACUUUUUGCUUCCUUCAGCAAUUCAUCAAUCUAAUGGAAGAAAGAGUAGCUAUCAUCAUAAUGAGAAUAGACUUCUACGAGUAUGAGUCAAUGUCAAUACUUUAUUUAAUAAUGCAAAUUCUAUUACUAUAUAUUUGGUCUCAAUCCAAAUUUGCUUUAAAUUGAGUUUCCUUGCCAUUGCACACUCCUAUCUUUCUGAACACACACCACCCCACACACACACCAUACACACUUGUUUCAUUGCGCUUCAUUUUAUUGCACUUCUCGAAGAAUGUGUUUUUUACAAAUUGAAGAUUUGUGGCAACUUUUCAUCGAGUGAGUCUAUUGGCAUCAUUUUUGCAAGAGCAUAUGCUCACUUCCUGCCUCUGUGACAGCAUUUUUUAGCAAUAACAUAUUUUUAAUGAAGGUAUGUACAUUGUUUUUUAGACAUAAUGCUAUUGCACACUUGACUAAAAUGUAGCCUAAGUAUAAUUUUUAUAUGCCAUGGGAAACUAAAAAAAGUGACUUACUUUAUUGUAAUAUUUGCUUUAUUACUUUGGUCUGGAACUGCCUCACACUAUCUCUGAAGUAUGCAUGUAUAGCUUUUCAUAACACAGAUAUCACAUUUGACCAGAUCCUAUUGUUACUGAACAAUGUUGAUGCUAACAUUGAUGAUAUCAAUCACUAUUACUGGAAUCAUUAUCAACAUAUCAAUAAAUAUUUUUAGAACAUUU